UACGAAGGGGGCUAGCGUUGCUCGGAAUUACUGGGCGUAAAGGGCGCGUAGGCGGAUGUUUAAGUCAGAGGUGAAAGCCCAGGGCUCAACCUUGGAACUGCCUUUGAUACUGGACAUCUUGAGUGUGGGAGAGGUGAGUGGAACUCCGAGUGUAGAGAUGAAAUCGUAGAUAUUCGCAAGAACACCAGUGGCGAAGGCGGCUCACUGGCCCGGAACUGACGCUGAGACGCGAAAGCGUGGGGAGCAAACAGG
RNAcentral lists this ribosomal RNA (252 nucleotides) under uncultured bacterium. RNAcentral describes it as "partial 16S ribosomal RNA". It matches the Rfam family "Bacterial small subunit ribosomal RNA", at positions 524 to 776 of the family's 1533-position model. The record is from RNAcentral.